CGCUGGGGAAGACAGCGUCUAAACGUGUCUUAAUAAAUGUGAAAUGUGCAUGGAAAUCAGCAGUGACUGGAACAACCACAGCUCUUCUCCUGGUGGUCAUACUCCUCGCUGUCUUCCUGUGGAUCAGAAGAAACAAGUCCUUCACACAACAGCGUGAGUGCGGUGAGAGACCAGAAGACAGAGCGCAGAUUUCAGCUGCGGCCCACACACGACCAGCAGAGCCGCACGAUGACGUCCACUACGCCAGUGU
Molecule: long non-coding RNA, 250 nt
Organism: Hippoglossus stenolepis (Pacific halibut)
Lineage: Eukaryota; Metazoa; Chordata; Actinopteri; Pleuronectiformes; Pleuronectidae
Exons: 4
Source: RefSeq, a predicted model, not a curated record